Molecule: ribosomal RNA, 495 nt
Filed under: uncultured bacterium
Lineage: Bacteria
Description: partial 16S ribosomal RNA
Rfam family: Bacterial small subunit ribosomal RNA
Source: RNAcentral
UAGGGAAUCUUCCACAAUGGACGCAAGUCUGAUGGAGCAACGCCGCGUGAGUGAAGAAGGUCUUCGGAUCGUAAAGCUCUGUUGUUGGUGAAGAAGGAUAGAGGCAGUAACUGGUCUUUAUUUGACGGUAAUCAACCAGAAAGUCACGGCUAACUACGUGCCAGCAGCCGCGGUAAUACGUAGGUGGCAAGCGUUGUCCGGAUUUAUUGGGCGUAAAGCGAGCGCAGGCGGAAUGAUAAGUCUGAUGUGAAAGCCCACGGCUCAACCGUGGAACUGCAUCGGAAACUGUCAUUCUUGAGUGCAGAAGAGGAGAGUGGAACUCCAUGUGUAGCGGUGGAAUGCGUAGAUAUAUGGAAGAACACCAGUGGCGAAGGCGGCUCUCUGGUCUGCAACUGACGCUGAGGCUCGAAAGCAUGGGUAGCGAACAGGAUUAGAUACCCUGGUAGUCCAUGCCGUAAACGAUGAGCGCUAGGUGUUGGGGACUUUCCGGUCUCA